UUAAACUAAAGCCAAACGUCCUCAAAGCUGUUUAACGCUCCCGAGUUAAGAAGAUCCAUUACGAAAGUAGCUUUACCCAUCCUGACCCCACGAAAGCUGUGACACAAACUGGGAUUAGAUACCCCACUAUGCUCAGCCAUAAAAUUUGAUAGGCCCCUACGCCCCCUAUCCGCCCGGGUACUACGAGCAUCAGCUUAAAACCCAAAGGACUUGGCGGUGCUUCACAUCCGUCUAGAGGAGCCUGUUCUAGAACCGAUAACCCCCGUUGAACCUCACCCUCCCUUGUUAAUACCGCCUAUAUACCGCCGUCGUCAGCCUACCCUGUGAAGGACUAGAAGUGAGCAAGAUUGGUAAGACCCAAAACGUCAGGUCGAGGUGUAGUGUAUGAGAGGGGAAGAAAUGGGCUACAUUUCCUAAAUCAGGAAACACGAACAAUGAACUGAAACAAGCAUUUGAAGGUGGAUUUAGCAGUAAGCAAGAAAACAGAGUGUUCUGCUGAAACAUGGCAAUAAAGCACGCACAUAUCGCCCGUCACUCUCCCCGAGCUACCUAAAAAAUUACAUCUGCAAAGGGGAGGCAAGUCGUAACAUGGUAAGCGUACCGGAAGGUGCGCUUGGAACAAUCAGAGUGUAGCUUAG
This 638-nucleotide ribosomal RNA is filed under the name Amphiprion ocellaris (clown anemonefish). RNAcentral describes it as "partial 12S ribosomal RNA". It matches the Rfam family "Bacterial small subunit ribosomal RNA", at positions 651 to 1533 of the family's 1533-position model. Lineage: Eukaryota; Metazoa; Chordata; Actinopteri; Pomacentridae. The record is from RNAcentral.